This 127-nucleotide small RNA is filed under the name Marmota monax (woodchuck). Lineage: Eukaryota; Metazoa; Chordata; Mammalia; Rodentia; Sciuridae. The record is from RNAcentral.
GCUGCGCAUGGUGGCGCAUGCCUGUAAUCCCAGCGACUGGGGAGGCUGAGACAGGAGGAUGGUGAGUUCAAAGCCAGCCUCAGCAAAAAGCAUGGUGCUAAGCAACUCAGUGAGGACCCUGUUUCUA